Molecule: long non-coding RNA, 200 nt
Filed under: Physcomitrium patens
Lineage: Eukaryota; Viridiplantae; Streptophyta; Bryopsida; Funariales; Funariaceae
Description: long non-coding RNA (PPAT_LNC007543)
Source: RNAcentral
ACCUCAAAAAGUAGGUAAUGGCGCAACGCUACUCGUUUGAUCGCCCACUGCACGCAUUUGAACUGUAAUCAAAACUGCUGGUCCUCCAGACGUCAUUAAAGAUGUCAGUGUUCCACUCAAUUUCUUAUUAAAAUAAAAACUGUUUCUCGUAAAAGUCUUUUUCAAACUUCUAGGCCUUCCCAAUUGACUAUUAUUAUCCU